GCUGGUUUAGCUCAAUGGAUAGAGCAUCAGUCUGAGGACUGAAGGGUGCUGGGUUCAAUUCCAGUCAAGGGCA
Myotis lucifugus (little brown bat) is the source of this 73-nucleotide non-coding RNA. The record is from Rfam. Lineage: Eukaryota; Metazoa; Chordata; Mammalia; Chiroptera; Vespertilionidae.